This 406-nucleotide ribosomal RNA is filed under the name uncultured bacterium. RNAcentral's name for it is "partial 16S ribosomal RNA". It matches the Rfam family "Bacterial small subunit ribosomal RNA", at positions 30 to 526 of the family's 1533-position model. The record is from RNAcentral.
AUUGAACGCUGGCGGCAGGCCUAACACAUGCAAGUCGAACGAGUGGCGGACGGGUGAGUAAUGUCUGGGAAACUGCCUGAUGGAGGGGGAUAACUACUGGAAACGGUAGCUAAUACCGCAUACCAUCAGAUGUGCCCAGAUGGGAUUAGCUAGUAGGUGGGGUAACGGCUCACCUAGGCGACGAUCCCUAGCUGGUCUGAGAGGAUGACAAGCAACACUGGAACUGAGACAGGGUCCAGCGUCCUACGGGAGGCAGCAGUGGGGAAUAUUGCACAAUGGGGGCAGGCCUGAUGCAGCCAUGCCGCGUGUAUGAAGAAGGCCUUCGGGUUGUAAAGUACUUUCAGCGGGGAGGCGUUACCCGCAGAAGAAGCACCGGCUAACUCCGUGCCAGCCGCCGCGGUAAUUC